Molecule: long non-coding RNA, 373 nt
Filed under: Phoenix dactylifera (date palm)
Lineage: Eukaryota; Viridiplantae; Streptophyta; Magnoliopsida; Arecales; Arecaceae
Description: long non-coding RNA (PDAC_LNC008992)
Source: RNAcentral
CCGUUACUCACUGUUGGAAGGACAAAAAGUACUUCUGCAGAACUAGCCGUUAUGCUUCUGCCCGUGUUUGGGUCGGCUCAACCUGUCCUUGGGUCGACCCAACUUUCACUUGGGUCGACUCAAACUUUCCUUGGGUCGACCCUCUCAGAAACACAGAAACUUGCAAUUCAGCCUUCCUUCACUUGGGUCGACCCAACCUUUCUUUGGGUCGACUCAAGGUUCAGUUGGGUCGACUCAACUUCUUCUUGGGUCGACCCUCUCAGAGUUUCCAGAGAUCCUUUUCUGUCAUCUGUUCUGUCUUGCCUUUGGGUCGACCCACUCAGGGUUUGGGUCGACUCAAGCUUGGGUCGACUCAACUUCAUCUUGGGUCGAC